UUCCCGUGUGAGUUGGUGAG
This 20-nucleotide unclassified non-coding RNA is filed under the name Chlamydomonas reinhardtii. RNAcentral describes it as "small RNA Cre_3801". The record is from RNAcentral. Lineage: Eukaryota; Viridiplantae; Chlorophyta; Chlorophyceae; Chlamydomonadales; Chlamydomonadaceae.